This 581-nucleotide long non-coding RNA is filed under the name Sinocyclocheilus grahami. RNAcentral describes it as "lncRNA (ENSSGRG00000047400.1)". Lineage: Eukaryota; Metazoa; Chordata; Actinopteri; Cypriniformes; Cyprinidae. The record is from RNAcentral.
CUCUGUGAUCAAAGUCAGUUGUACAUUUCAGAGCAGGGAGAGACUGUUAGCUCCAACAGGCAUCGCUGCUGUGCUGAGGUUAACACUCCAGCACCAUGUGUGAACAAAGCAGUAUGUCAUAUCCAGAAACUGAAGCCCAAACUGGAAAACUGGGGCCAACAGGGUGAUAAUGCUCAGCAUGAAACUGCACAUGAAAACAACCACAGUAUCAUUUGGAAUGCCACAGAUGUCCUGAUGGAGGUGAUGAGUUUGAUCGAGUGUCUUGAGUUGGACCGCAGAGAGGCAGAGAAGGCUCUACUGGAAGAAAAGGAGAAAGCAAAGAAACUUUCAGAGAAAUUGCACAGCCUCCGUCUCUGGAAGCAGAAUGAGUUUCUUAUAGCAGUGCAGAAAGGCCAGACUGGAUAUUGAUUACGGCAUGCAAUUUAUGUUCAAACUGUUUUUUCCAGCUCUAACAUUUUACUUCAGGCCCAGUAAUGUGGUAAUAAAGUGUAUUCUAUUCUAUUCUAUUACAAUGUACAGUCAAAAAUAUUCAACAGGGUCAUCAAAAACACAAAAAUGGCUUGAGGAGCACAAAUAUAAAG